Molecule: ribosomal RNA, 1553 nt
Filed under: Salmonella enterica subsp. enterica serovar Enteritidis str. CDC_2010K_1810
Lineage: Bacteria; Pseudomonadati; Pseudomonadota; Gammaproteobacteria; Enterobacterales; Enterobacteriaceae
Also listed under: 1 other name
Description: bacterial SSU rRNA
Rfam family: Bacterial small subunit ribosomal RNA
Source: RNAcentral
AAAUUGAAGAGUUUGAUCAUGGCUCAGAUUGAACGCUGGCGGCAGGCCUAACACAUGCAAGUCGAACGGUAACAGGAAGCAGCUUGCUGCUUGCUGACGAGUGGCGGACGGGUGAGUAAUGUCUGGGAAACUGCCUGAUGGAGGGGGAUAACUACUGGAAACGGUGGCUAAUACCGCAUAACGUCGCAAGACCAAAGAGGGGGACCUUCGGGCCUCUUGCCAUCAGAUGUGCCCAGAUGGGAUUAGCUUGUUGGUGAGGUAACGGCUCACCAAGGCGACGAUCCCUAGCUGGUCUGAGAGGAUGACCAGCCACACUGGAACUGAGACACGGUCCAGACUCCUACGGGAGGCAGCAGUGGGGAAUAUUGCACAAUGGGCGCAAGCCUGAUGCAGCCAUGCCGCGUGUAUGAAGAAGGCCUUCGGGUUGUAAAGUACUUUCAGCGGGGAGGAAGGUGUUGUGGUUAAUAACCGCAGCAAUUGACGUUACCCGCAGAAGAAGCACCGGCUAACUCCGUGCCAGCAGCCGCGGUAAUACGGAGGGUGCAAGCGUUAAUCGGAAUUACUGGGCGUAAAGCGCACGCAGGCGGUCUGUCAAGUCGGAUGUGAAAUCCCCGGGCUCAACCUGGGAACUGCAUUCGAAACUGGCAGGCUUGAGUCUUGUAGAGGGGGGUAGAAUUCCAGGUGUAGCGGUGAAAUGCGUAGAGAUCUGGAGGAAUACCGGUGGCGAAGGCGGCCCCCUGGACAAAGACUGACGCUCAGGUGCGAAAGCGUGGGGAGCAAACAGGAUUAGAUACCCUGGUAGUCCACGCCGUAAACGAUGUCUACUUGGAGGUUGUGCCCUUGAGGCGUGGCUUCCGGAGCUAACGCGUUAAGUAGACCGCCUGGGGAGUACGGCCGCAAGGUUAAAACUCAAAUGAAUUGACGGGGGCCCGCACAAGCGGUGGAGCAUGUGGUUUAAUUCGAUGCAACGCGAAGAACCUUACCUGGUCUUGACAUCCACAGAAGAAUCCAGAGAUGGAUUUGUGCCUUCGGGAACUGUGAGACAGGUGCUGCAUGGCUGUCGUCAGCUCGUGUUGUGAAAUGUUGGGUUAAGUCCCGCAACGAGCGCAACCCUUAUCCUUUGUUGCCAGCGGUUAGGCCGGGAACUCAAAGGAGACUGCCAGUGAUAAACUGGAGGAAGGUGGGGAUGACGUCAAGUCAUCAUGGCCCUUACGACCAGGGCUACACACGUGCUACAAUGGCGCAUACAAAGAGAAGCGACCUCGCGAGAGCAAGCGGACCUCAUAAAGUGCGUCGUAGUCCGGAUUGGAGUCUGCAACUCGACUCCAUGAAGUCGGAAUCGCUAGUAAUCGUGGAUCAGAAUGCCACGGUGAAUACGUUCCCGGGCCUUGUACACACCGCCCGUCACACCAUGGGAGUGGGUUGCAAAAGAAGUAGGUAGCUUAACCUUCGGGAGGGCGCUUACCACUUUGUGAUUCAUGACUGGGGUGAAGUCGUAACAAGGUAACCGUAGGGGAACCUGCGGUUGGAUCACCUCCUUACCUUAAAGAAGC